CAAAAACAUAGCCUUAUGUAUAAUAUAUUAGGUAAUUUCUGCUCAAUGAGACAUUAAAUAGCCCCAGUACCCUGACUGUGCAAAGGUAGCAUAAUCAAUUGACUUCUAAUUAAAGUCUAGAAUGAAUGAAUAUAUGAGGGGUGAGCUUUAUCAAUAAUUAUAAAAGAAGUUUCUUAAGGGGUGUAAAUUCCCUUAAUUAAAUAAUAGACGAGAAGACCCUAGAAAUUUGUAAUUAGUUUUUGUUGGGGCAACAUAGUAACAUUAUUAACUUACUAUAUUUUACUAGAAGUAAAUCGGGUUGAUUAAAUUACUCUAGGGAUAACAGCAUAAUACGAAAGUGUUUGUGACCUCGAUGUUGGAUUAAGAUGUUUCAGUUUAGGAAAUAUCCAUAAAGCUCUGUU
This 401-nucleotide ribosomal RNA is filed under the name Gloreugenia praecursoris. RNAcentral describes it as "partial 16S ribosomal RNA". Lineage: Eukaryota; Metazoa; Mollusca; Gastropoda; Stylommatophora; Camaenidae. The record is from RNAcentral.